Molecule: ribosomal RNA, 827 nt
Filed under: Microbacterium sp. PCA2-18_Pa
Lineage: Bacteria; Bacillati; Actinomycetota; Actinomycetes; Micrococcales; Microbacteriaceae
Description: bacterial SSU rRNA
Rfam family: Bacterial small subunit ribosomal RNA
Source: RNAcentral
GUCGAACGGUGAACACGGAGCUUGCUCUGUGGGAUCAGUGGCGAACGGGUGAGUAACACGUGAGCAACCUGCCCCUGACUCUGGGAUAAGCGCUGGAAACGGCGUCUAAUACUGGAUACGAACCAUGAAGGCAUCUUCAGUGGUUGGAAAGAUUUAUUGGUUGGGGAUGGGCUCGCGGCCUAUCAGCUUGUUGGUGAGGUAAUGGCUCACCAAGGCGUCGACGGGUAGCCGGCCUGAGAGGGUGACCGGCCACACUGGGACUGAGACACGGCCCAGACUCCUACGGGAGGCAGCAGUGGGGAAUAUUGCACAAUGGGCGCAAGCCUGAUGCAGCAACGCCGCGUGAGGGAUGACGGCCUUCGGGUUGUAAACCUCUUUUAGCAGGGAAGAAGCGAAAGUGACGGUACCUGCAGAAAAAGCGCCGGCUAACUACGUGCCAGCAGCCGCGGUAAUACGUAGGGCGCAAGCGUUAUCCGGAAUUAUUGGGCGUAAAGAGCUCGUAGGCGGUUUGUCGCGUCUGCUGUGAAAUCCGGAGGCUCAACCUCCGGCCUGCAGUGGGUACGGGCAGACUAGAGUGCGGUAGGGGAGAUUGGAAUUCCUGGUGUAGCGGUGGAAUGCGCAGAUAUCAGGAGGAACACCGAUGGCGAAGGCAGAUCUCUGGGCCGUAACUGACGCUGAGGAGCGAAAGGGUGGGGAGCAAACAGGCUUAGAUACCCUGGUAGUCCACCCCGUAAACGUUGGGAACUAGUUGUGGGGUCCAUUCCACGGAUUCCGUGACGCAGCUAACGCAUUAAGUUCCCCGCCUGGGGAGUACGGCCGCAAGGCUA